Homo sapiens (human) is the source of this 1689-nucleotide long non-coding RNA. Ensembl annotates it as long intergenic non-protein coding RNA 1500. The record is from Ensembl. Lineage: Eukaryota; Metazoa; Chordata; Mammalia; Primates; Hominidae.
GGUAGUAGCGCUGCCUGCAAACCAGCACCAAGGCUGCAAACGAAGCCAGAAAGAUGGUGGCCAGCACACCUAUGGCAACUAUCACCACGGUCUCCAUGCUUCCGGGGAGCUCCUGACUCAGUCCCGUUCACAUCGUCCUCAUGGGCUAAGGCUGCUGGAAGUGGCAAACUGGGGGAAGAGGAUGGCAGGAGCUAGGUUCCUCCACGACACCUCCAGAGACCUGAGGGCCUCAAGCUGCAGCUCCGGGGCACAUCCCGCUGCGCUCCCACGACGGCCCCGCGGAUGGCAAAGUCAGCGACAGAGUCUUGCUUUGUCGCCAGGCUGGAGUGCUGUGGCGCAAUUUCGGCUCACUGAAACCUCUGCCUCCCGGCUUCAAGUGAUUCUCCUGCCUCAGCCGCCCAAGUAGCUGGGACUACAGGCGCCCGCCACCACACCAGCUAAUUUUUAAUUGACCACAAGAGAAGACUCCCUUUCAAACUCUUCAUUCUCUGGUUCAGAGGUUUGAUGUAAUGGUUGUCUCAUCGUACAUGGUCAGCCACAGGAUAUACUUCAUCCAUUUCAGAGCUGUACUCCUGAGUUCCAUGCUAUAAUCAGAAAUAUGUGGCACAUUUUGAACAAAGGAAAUAUAUACCCAACAAAGUGUUAAAAUGGAGCUGCCAACCAGACAAACCCUAGAAAUAUGUAGCCACUUACAGGCAGAACACAACUACAUGUGUUCCCAAUGUGGAAGGCAUUCCGGAAGUGUAUGCAUCCACAUUUCUACAUGAGGCAUCGCCUAUGCAGGCAAUCAAAGGAUGUUGAUGGAUAAGUGUUUCAGGCAGAAUAAUGGCCCUCAAAGAUGUUGACACCAGAAUCUUCAGAACCUUUGCAUAUGUUACCUAACAUGACAAAAGGGACUUUGCUGAUGUGAUUAAGGUUAAGAACUUUGAGAAGGGAAGAUUAUCCUGGAUUAUACAGCUAUUUAUUAUCUACUCUGCACCAAUCAUCAGAUGUAGUGGUGAAAAGAUGGACAAAAUUUCUACUCUCAGCUUACAUUUUGGUGAUGGGAGAUGGACAAUCAACCCAGGUCAAUGACAGAUGCUGGAGCAGAACACAUAGACAUACAGGUCGACGUUUAUUUCUUUCUGAACUUUCCUGGAGGAUCAUCGGCCAUACUCCAGCAGAAGGGUGGAUUUGAAAAAAUAACCUCCUGCUCUUUUUCUAUUUGGACACCUGGACAUGGAUGUCCGCUUCCCUGGGAGUACCAGUUACACCCUUUCCAAGUUGUCUGAAGGAAGACGUUGGAGAAUUCACAUGCUAUUUUAGCUGGCUCUGUGAUUGCAAUCACACAAAUCAUUACAUUCCAGCGAGAUCCCAUCAACAGAAGGUUUUUCCAUUUCAGUCUGUCAAGACUUCUGAAAGAAUAAAGAAAAAUUUCCUCCAGUUCUUGAGGUAAAGGAGAAGUCUCUGCCUCUACUAUCUGGACAACUGGAACUCUCUCUCUUUAAUCUCUUGAAUGAGAAGGGGUGCCGUCUUCCAGGCUCUGGGGUUAUGCCCAUCCUUCCACUGCAUGAUUGAGAAAGGUGCAAGGAGAGCCUUUUGUUUGAGUCCUUUAAAAGCUAGAAUGUCCACAAGGAAAGAGCUACUGGACCUGGAGACCACACAAAUGAAGUAACCUGAGAUUUAAAAAAAAUAUAUUUAUGUUCUGAA